Molecule: ribosomal RNA, 421 nt
Filed under: uncultured bacterium
Lineage: Bacteria
Description: partial 16S ribosomal RNA
Rfam family: Bacterial small subunit ribosomal RNA
Source: RNAcentral
AUCUUCCACAAUGGGCGAAAGCCUGCUGGAGCAACGCCGCGUGAGUGAAGAAGGUUUUCGGAUCGUAAAACUCUGUUGUAAGGGAAGAACAAGUAAAGUAGUAACUGGCUGUACCUUGACGGUACCUUAUUAGAAAGCAACGGCUACAUACGUGCCAGCAGCCGCGGUAAUACGGAGGUGGCAAGCGUUGUCCGGAAGUAUUGGGCGUAAAGCGCGCGCAGGCGGUCCUUUAAGUCUGAUGUGAAAGCCCACAGCUCAACCGUGGAGGGUCAUUGGAAACUGGGGGACUUGAAUGCAGAAGAGGAAAGUGGAAUUCCAAGUGUAGCGGUGAAAUGCGUAGAGAUUUGGAGGAACACCAGUGGCGAAGGCGACUUUCUGGUCUGUAACUGACGCUGAGGCGCGAAAGCGUGGGGAGCAAACA